Molecule: non-coding RNA, 184 nt
Filed under: Spirochaetota bacterium
Lineage: Bacteria; Pseudomonadati; Spirochaetota
Description: Spirochaetes bacterium (wastewater metagenome) 6S RNA
Rfam family: 6S / SsrS RNA
About the family: E. coli 6S RNA was the first non coding RNA to be sequenced, but its function was unknown until recently. It consists of 184 nucleotides that fold into an extended hairpin structure with a large single-stranded internal bulge.
Source: RNAcentral
GUAAGCCUGCGGUGUUCGUGUAUGGUAUGUCAUAUUGUAGUUCCAAUACUACUGAGCAGGGAAUCUCUAAUCUGCGGAUUGAUAUCACGCUUCAUUAUGAAGUAGAUAGAUGUCCGUAUGCGAGAAUCCACCUUUACAAAGGGAGCUCAAAUAUUCAUACCACUGCGGCACACGCGGGUUAAUU